RNAcentral lists this long non-coding RNA (526 nucleotides) under Lupinus angustifolius (narrow-leaved blue lupine). Its description in RNAcentral is "long non-coding RNA (LANG_LNC003609)". Lineage: Eukaryota; Viridiplantae; Streptophyta; Magnoliopsida; Fabales; Fabaceae. The record is from RNAcentral.
CCCUUAAAUACCAUACCAAUUGGGAGUAAAAACCAUAUAAGGAUUCAACCUCAAUAGGAUUAGCCUCUAACCAUAGGUAAAUCCUUGUCCAAAGUCUACUAGUGACAGAACAAGAAAUAAAUAAAUGUAAAGAGUGAUACUUCCUCCAUAAGACAAUAAGACAAAGUGCACAAUUGCUAUUCAAUGACAUCCCCUAGUCAUAGGAUUAUCUUUUAUUGGUAAUGUAUCCCAUAUUAAUUUUGAGAAAAGCCACCUAUAAGAUGGGUUAACUGAAAAGUUGGCACCACAAGGACUCCACCUCCAAGAGUCAUGCACUGUUACGAUCAAGAUGAACAUCAUGCAAAAUCUCUUGUAGCUCAAGAAGGGCAAGCUCGUCCCAGGUGUGAAGGUUAUGAUGCCAAUUCGAAGUUCUAACAUCAUUCACCUAAGUACCAGCUUAUUGAAGAGUCAUUCCUUUAUUAAGAGAGUAUAUAGAGGGAUAGAUAAGUUGACCUAAAAUUGUUUGGUCCAAACAAAACUUCCUCCC